GCAUUCUCAUAGAGCAAUUAGUUUAAACUUAACCAUCAGUGAUAGGAUUAUGAGUAUUUCAUUUUCUUUAUGCUUUUCAGUUUUCUAUAUUGACCCUGUGUUUUAGGAAUGAGAGGAAGAAAAAAUUUUUUCAGUCCAACCUAUGUAUCAACUACUGUUUUGUUCAUAGAAUGAUGCCGCUUGAUCCCGCAUCACACAGAAUUAGGGUAUAACAAUGCUGGGGAAAGAAAACUUCAAGUUGAUGUCCAAUUCCCUCUUUAUAUUUAUCAAGAUGAUCAGCCCUGCUCCUGGAGAACAUUAUGGCCAAAACUGCGGUCUUAGAAAAGAGAUUGGAGACAAAUUCAUUAAGGACUUCCUACCAUUUAUUAAAAGUUUGUCACCGGUGAAGGUAAACAGUUUGACAUGUACCUUGAUGUAAAAGAACACUUCCAAAACGUUAGUUAAAAUAAAAUUUUGGUAA
Mustela erminea (ermine) is the source of this 460-nucleotide long non-coding RNA. RefSeq lists it as uncharacterized. The transcript has 3 exons. NCBI's taxonomy places the organism in Eukaryota, Metazoa, Chordata, Mammalia, Carnivora, Mustelidae. The record is from RefSeq and is a predicted model, not a curated record.